UCGAGGAUCUUCGGCAAUGGGCGCAAGCCUGACCGAGCGACGCCGCGUGUGCGAUGAAGGCCUUCGGGUUGUAAAGCACUGUCGAGGGGGAGAAAGGCCCGCAAGGGCUUGAUCGACCCCUGGAGGAAGCACGGGCUAAGUUCGUGCCAGCAGCCGCGGUAAGACGAACCGUGCGAACGUUGUUCGGAAUCACUGGGCUUAAAGGGCGCGUAGGCGGGCCACCAAGUCAGGGGUGAAAUCUUUCGGCUCAACCGGAAAAGUGCCUUUGAUACUGGUGGCCUCGAGGGAGGUAGGGGUCUGCGGAACUUCCGGUGGAGCGGUGAAAUGCGUAGAUAUCGGAAGGAACGCCGGUGGCGAAAGCGGCGGACUGGACCUCUUCUGACGCUGAGGCGCGAAAGCCAGGGGAGCAAACGGGAUUAGAUACCCCGGUAGUCC
RNAcentral lists this ribosomal RNA (435 nucleotides) under uncultured bacterium. Its description in RNAcentral is "bacterial SSU rRNA". It matches the Rfam family "Bacterial small subunit ribosomal RNA", at positions 355 to 796 of the family's 1533-position model. The record is from RNAcentral.